Non-coding RNA from Caenorhabditis elegans, 285 nucleotides. Lineage: Eukaryota; Metazoa; Nematoda; Chromadorea; Rhabditida; Rhabditidae. The record is from Ensembl.
AACGCUUUCUUGCUCCAUUAUUCAUAUUCAAUUACACUACUUCUUGAAAAUAUGUCGUUUCAAGAGGGUGGAAACACGCGAGGGGGAGCCGGCGCAUGCAUUUCAUUGUUUGUCAAAACAAAUCGAAUUAUUGUGAAGCGCAUCUAAUUGCACAUCCAAAUCUAAAUCCCCAAACUCAUUUCCCGUAACACAACACUUGACUACCAGUAGUAACGAGGCGUCCCCCUUGAGCAAUGGCGGCCUCUCUUUUUAUGAUUGAUUUGAGUGUUAUUGUGUGUUUCUGUU